Molecule: ribosomal RNA, 396 nt
Filed under: Pterocystidae sp.
Lineage: Eukaryota; Centroplasthelida; Pterocystida; Pterocystidae
Description: partial small subunit ribosomal RNA
Rfam family: Eukaryotic small subunit ribosomal RNA
Source: RNAcentral
AUUCCAGCUCCAAUAGCGUAUAUUAAAGUUGUUGCAGUUAAAAAGCUCGUAGUCGGAACUUUGGCCGGCGGUGAGCGUCCAAGGGCCUUCGGCCUUUGCGCAUGCGAUCCGCUAGCCAUGUACUUCGGAGGAACGCGUGUGCUUUUCACUAAGUGCGCGUGGGAUUCCGAUAGUUUACUUUGAGAAAAAUAGAGUGUUCAAAGCAGGCGUUUUGCCUUGAAUACAUUAGCAUGGGAUAAUGAAAUAGGACAUUGGUUCUAUUUUGAUGGUUUACGGACCGAUGUAAUGAUUAAUAGGGACAGUUGGGGGUAUUCGUAUUCCAUUGUCAGAGGUGAAAUUCUUGGAUUUAUGGAAGACGAACCACUGCGAAAGCAUUUACCAAGGAUGUUUUCAUUG